AUUGAACGCUGGCGGCAGGCCUAACACAUGCAAGUCGAGCGGAUGAAGGGAGCUUGCUCCUGGCUUCAGCGGCGGACGGGUGAGUAAUGCCUAGGAAUCUGCCUGGUAGUGGGGGCUAACGUCCGGAAACGGGCGCUAAUACCGCAUACGUCCUGAGGGAGAAAGUGGGGGAUCUUCGGACCUCACGCUAUCAGAUGAGCCUAGGUCGGAUUAGCUAGUUGGUGGGGUAAAGGCCUACCAAGGCGACGAUCCGUAACUGGUCUGAGAGGAUGAUCAGUCACACUGGAACUGAGACACGGUCCAGACUCCUACGGGAGGCAGCAGUGGGGAAUAUUGGACAAUGGGCGAAAGCCUGAUCCAGCCAUGCCGCGUGUGUGAAGAAGGUCUUCGGAUUGUAAAGCACUUUAAGUUGGGAGGAAGGGCAGUAAGUUAAUACCUUGCUGUUUUGACGUUACCAACAGAAUAAGCACCGGCUAACUUCGUG
RNAcentral lists this ribosomal RNA (484 nucleotides) under uncultured bacterium. RNAcentral describes it as "partial 16S ribosomal RNA". It matches the Rfam family "Bacterial small subunit ribosomal RNA", at positions 30 to 507 of the family's 1533-position model. The record is from RNAcentral.